AUCUUGCCUCACUGCAACCUCUGCCUCCCGGGUUCAAGCAAUUCUCCUGCCUCAGCCUCCCGAGUAGCUGAGACUACAGGCAUGCACCACCAUGCCCAGCUAAUUUUUGUAUUUACUUUAGUAGAGACGGGGUUUCACCAUGUUGACCAGGCUGGUCUCGAACUCCUGGCCUCAGGUGAUCUGCCCGCCUCGUCCUCCCAAAGUGCUGGGAUUACAGGCGUGAGCCACCGUGCCUGGCCCUUGUAGGUGCUCUAAGAUGAAGAAUUCCAAACUGCUAACCGUCAGCACACGUCGUUCAUAAGAAAGCACAGCAGAGGAUGCCAUCCAGAGUCCAGGAUGAAGCCAAGAGGGAGCCUCUGGAGCCGGGACAACAGAAAAUUUAUAUAAACUGCAACCUCAAUACUUUGAAGACAGUAGCACGAGGAAUGAAUUAGUGCUGAAGACAGCAUCGAAUCAUGUCUCAGAAAGAUUAAAACUGGUAUCAGAUGGCCGAAUAGGAACAGCUCCAGUCUACAGCUCCCAGCGUGAGCGACGCAGAAGACGGGUGAUUUCUGCAUUUCCAACUGAGGUGAAGAGACAUGACAUGAGACAGGAAUGAAGAGCACUGGAAAUAAACGUGUGAGUAAAUAUAAAAGACAAUUUUUUCCUCUUAUUUCUUUAAAAUACUAAAGAAUUUUAAAAGAAAAUAUGAAAAAUUUUGUGUGGGGUUUAUAACAUAUAAAUGUAAUCUGCAUAAAAAUUGUAACAUAAAGCACCAGAUAGUUGACAAACGGACCUAGAUAAUUGCAGGAAUCAUAUGCAAGGGUUUAUAUGAAUUGGUAUAUUUACUCUAACUGGACUGUGAAAAUUUAAGGAUGCAUAUUAUAUUCCCUAGAGCAA
RNAcentral lists this long non-coding RNA (879 nucleotides) under Homo sapiens (human). RNAcentral's name for it is "PREDICTED lncRNA (TCONS_00225881)". The record is from RNAcentral. Lineage: Eukaryota; Metazoa; Chordata; Mammalia; Primates; Hominidae.